UCCUACGGGAGGCAGCAGUGGGGAAUAUUGCACAAUGGGCGCAAGCCUGAUGCAGCCAUGCCGCGUGUAUGAAGAAGGCCUUCGGGUUGUAAAGUACUUUCAGCAGUGAGGAAGGUGGGUAUGUUAAUAGCAUAUUCAUUUGACGUUAGCUGCAGAAGAAGCACCGGCUAACUCCGUGCCAGCAGCCGCGGUAAUACGGAGGGUGCGAGCGUUAAUCGGAAUUACUGGGCGUAAAGCGCAUGCAGGUGGUUUGUUAAGUCAGAUGUGAAAAGCCCCGGGGCUCAACCUCGGAAUUGCAUUUGAAACUGGCAAACUAGAGUACUGUAGAGGGGGUAGAAUUUCAGGUGUAGCGGUGAAAUGCGUAGAGAUCUGAAGGAAUACCCGGUGGCGAAGGCGGCCCCCUGGACAGAUACUGACACUCAGAUGCGAAAGCGUGGGGAGCAAACAGGAUUAGAUACCCUGGUAG
Molecule: ribosomal RNA, 466 nt
Filed under: uncultured bacterium
Lineage: Bacteria
Description: bacterial SSU rRNA
Rfam family: Bacterial small subunit ribosomal RNA
Source: RNAcentral